RNAcentral lists this unclassified non-coding RNA (357 nucleotides) under soil metagenome. Its description in RNAcentral is "partial contains 5.8S ribosomal RNA, internal transcribed spacer 2, and large subunit ribosomal RNA". The stretch from base 1 to 120 matches the Rfam family "5.8S ribosomal RNA", at positions 35 to 154 of the family's 154-position model. The record is from RNAcentral.
GAUGAAGAACGUAGCGAAAUGCGAUAAGUAAUGUGAAUUGCAGAAUUCAGUGAAUCAUCGAAUCUUUGAACGCACAUUGCGCCCGUUAGCAUUCUAGCGGGCAUGCCUGUCCGAGCGUCAUUUCAACCCUCAGGGUCCCCGUUCCGGCGGGGAACCUGGUGUUGGGGAUCGGCCCGCCCCGUGCGGCGCCGUCCCCGAAAUUCAGUGGCGGUCUCGCUGCAGCCUCCCCUGCGUAGUAGUUACAACCUCGCAUCGGAGCUCAGCGCGGCCACGCCGUAAAACCCCCGACUUUCUGAACGUUGACCUUGGAUCAGGUAGGAAUACCCGCUGAACUUAAGCAUAUCAAUAAGCGGAGGA